AGUCUGUUCCAGGGAGUUUCAUGCUCUCCUGUCUCCAAUGUGCAUAUACGAACAUGGGAACACAUCUGCACAUAAAUAAAUCUUGGCUUAUUUCUGGUAAAUUUUUGUACAACCAUAUUGCAUGUUCCUGAGGUAGAGGCAAAACAUGUUCCUGAAGUGUAGCCCUGGCCAUGCAGGGACUGACAUGACUUCUUUUCAUUAGACUACAGUCUAUGCAGUGACACAUCUAGCUAUGCAGGAUUGGUCUUGGUUUGAUCAAUGGGAAACCACAAGACAACAAGCAAGCAGGGGUGUUGACCGAAGAGCCUCAAGUUCAAAGCAGAAGCCACAUCCCCAUUCCUUGAAUGGAUGAUCAUUUUGGGGACCCUGCAUAAUGGCGCAUGCGUUUAAAUCGAGUACUCAGGUGGCACAGAAGUGUGGAUCUCUGGGACUUCGAAACCUACAUCAUCUACAAAACGAUUUUCAGGCUAUAUGAUGAGACCCUGACUCAAAAACAAACAAACAAACAAACAAACAAAUCAAUGAUCAGAGAAAAUUAUACCCAGGAAGCAAUGACAAUAAACAUGGAAAUUAUG
RNAcentral lists this long non-coding RNA (575 nucleotides) under Rattus norvegicus (Norway rat). RNAcentral describes it as "long non-coding RNA NONRATT000197". Lineage: Eukaryota; Metazoa; Chordata; Mammalia; Rodentia; Muridae. The record is from RNAcentral.